AUAAAUGAAUUUAUAAUGUAACUUAUGUAGUUUACAUAGGAAAAUGUAAUUUUUGCUUGAUGAUUCAUACUUAUAUCUACUAUAAUUUGAUAUGGAAAAUAUUCAAAUUGAAGAGAAGUAUUUAUAUAUUUAUUUUGUUUCUAAUAAUAAAUGUAUAUUUAUACAUAGAUAUAAAAAGAGGAACAUUAUGCGUCUUCUUUCUCCAAUUAUCAUUGCAUUAUAUAUUGCAAAUUCUAGUUUUCAAUCUUAUUCUAAAUUGAAUCGAUUAUAAUAAAAAUGGAACAAGAAAAUACAUUAAAUAAAUAUCUAUUUCAUGUCUAUGCUCGUAUCGACUGCUUUGCAUUCUUGCUGUUUCAAUAUUUAAUUAUACAACAUUCAAAUUUAAAGAAGAAAAAUGAGCACCAUAAGAAUAUAAAUACAUUUGAAAGUAAAAGGAUGAUUCUCGAAAGUUAUUUUUCAUUAAUGAACACUGAGGAUAUCCAAGAGUGAUGAUGCUAUUAUUUACAUAGUGUCCAAUACGUAAAAUAAUUUUCGAAAGUAAUUCUCGAGUUUUAUUCUCAAGUGGAUUCACGUUCCUUAGAUGUACCAGUAUAUCGUAUUUUUCUUUGUCUGUGUUAGAUAAGAUAAUAUGAAAUAAAUUGAAUUCAUGAUA
Long non-coding RNA from Apis cerana (Asiatic honeybee), 652 nucleotides. RefSeq lists it as uncharacterized. Lineage: Eukaryota; Metazoa; Arthropoda; Insecta; Hymenoptera; Apidae. The record is from RefSeq and is a predicted model, not a curated record.